This 797-nucleotide ribosomal RNA is filed under the name Aerococcus urinae. RNAcentral's name for it is "bacterial LSU rRNA". It matches the Rfam family "Bacterial large subunit ribosomal RNA", at positions 21 to 821 of the family's 2925-position model. Lineage: Bacteria; Bacillati; Bacillota; Bacilli; Lactobacillales; Aerococcaceae. The record is from RNAcentral.
ACGGUGAAUGCCUUGGCACUAGGAGCCGAUGAAGGACGGGACGAACACCGAUAUGCUUCGGGGAGCUGUAAGUAAGCUUUGAUCCGGAGAUUUCCGAAUGGGGGAACCUCAUUGUUUUUAUCGACAAUGGUCCAUUCAGUGAACACAUAGCUGAGUGGAAGGUAGACGUGGUGAACUGAAACAUCUCAGUAGCCACAGGAAGAGAAAGAAAAAUCGAUUUCCCGAGUAGCGGCGAGCGAAACGGAAAGAGGCCAAACCAGCGUGCUUGCAUGCUGGGGUUGUAGGACUGAUGGACGGGAGUGAAUGAGCUAGUCGAACGCCAUGGAAAGGGCGAUCAGAGAGGGUGACAAUCCCGUAGGCGAAAGCUCAGCCACCUCAUUCAGUAUCCUGAGUACGGCGGUACACGUGAAAUUCCGUCGGAAUCCGCCAGGACCAUCUGGCAAGCCUAAAUACUCCCUAGUGCCCGAUAGUGAACCAGUACCGUGAGGGAAAGGUGAAAAGCACCCCGGAAGGGGAGUGAAAGAGUACCUGAAACCGUAUGCCUACAAGCAGUCAGAGCCCGUUAAGGGGUGAUGGCGUACUUUUUGUAGAACGGACCGGCGAGUGACGAUAGCAAGCAAGGUUAAGCUGAAGAAGCGGAGCCACAGCGAAAGCGAGUCUGAAGAGGGCGUUGAGUUUGUUGUCGUUGACCCGAAACCAAGUGAUCUACUCAUGUCCAGGCUGAAGGUGUGGUAAAACACACUGGAGGGCCGAACCCACGUCUGUUGAAAAAGGCGGGGAUGAGGUGUGGGUAGCGG